Cyprinus carpio carpio is the source of this 109-nucleotide microRNA precursor. The record is from Ensembl. Lineage: Eukaryota; Metazoa; Chordata; Actinopteri; Cypriniformes; Cyprinidae.
UUCUUUGCUGGUUGUGUGGUGUCAGGACUUAACCCACUUGUGAACACUGCAUUGAACUUCUUUGUUCACAGUGGUUAAGUUCUGCCAUCCUGAGACCCAUAUCAGCAAA